AAUUCGAAGCAACGCGAAGAACCUUACCAGGUCUGACAUCCCCUGACAACCCGAGAGAUCGGGCGUCCCCUUCGGGGGACAGGGUGACAGGUGGUGCAUGGUUGUCGUCAGCUCGUGUCGUGAGAUGUUGGGUUAAGUCCCGCAACGAGCGCAACCCCUAUUGUUAGUUGCCAUCAUUCAGUUGGGCACUCUAGCGAGACUGCCGGUAAUAAACCGGAGGAAGGUGGGGAUGACGUCAAAUCAUCAUGCCCCUUAUGACCUGGGCUACACACGUGCUACAAUGGUUGGUACAACGAGUUGCGAGUCGGUGACGGCGAGCUAAUCUCUUAAAGCCAAUCUCAGUUCGGAUUGUAGGCUGCAACUCGCCUACAUGAAGUCGGAAUCGCUAGUAAUCGCGGAUCAGCACGCCGCGGUGAAUACGUUCCCGGGCCUU
Molecule: ribosomal RNA, 433 nt
Filed under: uncultured Streptococcus sp.
Lineage: Bacteria; Bacillati; Bacillota; Bacilli; Lactobacillales; Streptococcaceae
Description: bacterial SSU rRNA
Rfam family: Bacterial small subunit ribosomal RNA
Source: RNAcentral